AGAGUUUCAUUCUGGCUCACGAUGAACGCUGGCGGCAUGCCUAAUACAUGCAAGUCGAACGAGAGGAAGGAAAGCUUGCUUUUCUGAAUCUAGUGGCGAACGGGUGAGUAACACGUAGGUAACCUGCCCAUGUGCCCGGGAUAACUUCUGGAAACGGAUGCUAAAACCGGAUAGGUAGCAGACAAGCAUUUGACUGCCAUUAAAGUGGCUACGGCCAUGAACAUGGAUGGACCUGCGGUGCAUUAGCUAGUUGGUGAGGUAACGGCCCACCAAGGCGACGAUGCAUAGCCGGCCUGAGAGGGCGGACGGCCACAUUGGGACUGAGACACGGCCCAAACUCCUACGGGAGGCAGCAGUAGGGAAUUUUCGUCAAUGGGGGGAACCCUGAACGAGCAAUGCCGCGUGAGUGAGGAAGGUCUUCGGAUCGUAAAGCUCUGUUGUAAGAGAAAAACGGCACUCAUAGGGAAUGAUGAGUGAGUGAUGGUAUCUUACCAGAAAGUCACGGCUAACUACGUGCCAGCAGCCGCGGUAAUACGUAGGCGGCAAGCGUUGUCCGGAAUCAUUGGGCGUAAAGGGAGCGCAGGUGGGGCGGUAAGUCUUUCUUAAAAGUGCGGGGCUCACCCCCGUGAGGGGAAAGAAACUAUCGUUUUUGAGUGCAGGAGAGGAAAGCGGAAUUUCUAGUGUAGCGGUGAAAUGCGUAGAUAUUAGGAAGAACACCAGUGGCGAAGGCGGCUUUCUGGACUGUAACUGACACUGAGGCUCGAAAGCGUGGGGAGCGAACAGGAUUAGAUACCCUGGUAGUCCACGCCGUAAACGAUGAAUGCUAGGUGUAGGAGGUAUCGACCCCUUCUGUGCCGGAGUUAACGCAAUAAGCAUUCCGCCUGGGGAGUACGGUCGCAAAGAUUGAAACUCAAAGGAAUUGACGGGGGCCCGCACAAGCGGUGGAGUAUGUGGUUUAAUUCGACGCAACGCGAAGAACCUUACCAGGGCUUGACAUUGAGUGAAAGGCAUAGAGAUAUGUCCCUCUCUUCGGAGACACGAAAACAGGUGGUGCAUGGCUGUCGUCAGCUCGUGUCGUGAGAUGUUGGGUUAAGUCCCGCAACGAGCGCAACCCCUAUGCUUUGUUGCCAGCAAGUAAUGUUGGGCACUCAAAGGAGACUGCCGCGGAGAACGCGGAGGAAGGCGGGGAUGACGUCAAGUCAUCAUGCCCCUUAUGUCCUGGGCUACACACGUACUACAAUGGGAUGGACAGAGAGCAGCGAAAUCGCGAGAUCAAGCGAACCUCAUAAACCAUCUCCCAGUUCGGAAAGCAGGCUGAAACCCGCCUGCAUGAAGUUGGAAUCGCUAGUAAUCGCAGGUCAGCAUACUGCGGUGAAUAAAAUCCCGGGCCUUGCACACACCGCCCGUCA
RNAcentral lists this ribosomal RNA (1409 nucleotides) under uncultured bacterium. Its description in RNAcentral is "bacterial SSU rRNA". It matches the Rfam family "Bacterial small subunit ribosomal RNA". The record is from RNAcentral.